Molecule: ribosomal RNA, 450 nt
Filed under: uncultured bacterium
Lineage: Bacteria
Description: bacterial SSU rRNA
Rfam family: Bacterial small subunit ribosomal RNA
Source: RNAcentral
CAAGAUUAAAACUCAAAGGAAUUGACGGGGACCCGCACAAGCGGUGGAUGAUGUGGAUUAAUUCGAUGCAACGCGAAAAACCUUACCUACCCUUGACAUGUACGGAAGCCACGAGAGAUCGAGGCGUGCUCGAAAGAGAGCCGUAACACAGGUGCUGCAUGGCUGUCGUCAGCUCGUGUCGUGAGAUGUUGGGUUAAGUCCCGCAACGAGCGCAACCCUUGUCAUUAGUUGCUACGAAAGAGCACUCUAAUGGGACUGCCGGUGACAAACCGGAGGAAGGUGGGGAUGACGUCAAGUCCUCAUGGCCCUUAUGGGUAGGGCUUCACACGUCAUACAAUGGUACAUACAGAGGGCCGCCAACCCGCGAGGGGGAGCUAAUCCCAGAAAGUGUAUCGUAGUCCGGAUUGUAGUCUGCAACUCGACUACAUGAAGUUGGUAAUCGCUAGUAAU